AUACGUAGGGGGCGAGCGUUGUCCGGAAUGAUUGGGCGUAAAGGGCGCGUAGGCGGCGCGGUAAGUCUGGAGUGAAAGUCCUGCUUUCAAGGUGGGAAUUGCUUUGGAUACUGCCGCGCUUGAGUGCAGGAGAGGUUAUCGGAAUUCCCGGUGUAGCGGUGAAAUGCGUAGAGAUCGGGAGGAACACCAGUGGCGAAGGCGGGUAACUGGACUGCAACGGACGCUGAGGCGCGAAAGUGUGGGGAGCAAACAGGAUUAUAUACCCUGGUAGUCCACACUGUAAACGAUGAAUGCUAGGUGUAAGAGGUAGCGACCCCUUGUGUGCCGGAGUCAACACAAUAAGCAUUCCGCCUGGGGAGUACGGUCGCAAGGGUGAAACUUAAAGGAAUUGACGGUG
RNAcentral lists this ribosomal RNA (397 nucleotides) under uncultured bacterium. Its description in RNAcentral is "partial 16S ribosomal RNA". It matches the Rfam family "Bacterial small subunit ribosomal RNA", at positions 523 to 918 of the family's 1533-position model. The record is from RNAcentral.